Long non-coding RNA from Portunus trituberculatus (swimming crab), 278 nucleotides. RefSeq lists it as uncharacterized. Lineage: Eukaryota; Metazoa; Arthropoda; Malacostraca; Decapoda; Portunidae. The transcript has 2 exons. The record is from RefSeq and is a predicted model, not a curated record.
UCAGUCUGCUGGUCGCCAUGCCAGCGAGAGGAUGUGUGGGGAUGUUGUUGCGUUGCUCCUCCCUGGCCAAACAAAAGCGGAGAGCAUGUGAACAGUGCUAGCAGUGACCAGCAGUGAUGGAAGGACAAGACCAAGAGUAAAGUGAUGAAAGAGGAAGAAUAAAAAUGGCGAUAAUUUGAGAAUAGUGGCAAUAAAAAAGAAUAAAAAAACGAGAAACAGUAAAUGAAAAAUAGAAAGAGAAAAGAAAAAAAAAGUGAUUAUAACAAGAGAGAGAGAGA